CAAAACCGCAUGAAAAAUGUAAAGCGUUAUGUGGAUCGAACAUUAGUAGAGAAGCGUGUGAGCCAGCUGCCAAGAAAAGCCGCUAUUGUUUCAUAAGUACCCGUACCGUAAACCGACACAGGUGGAUGAGGAGAGAAUCCUAAGGCCGGCGGGAGAAGUGUUGUUAAGGAACUCGGCAAAAUGACUCCGUAACUUCGGGAGAAGGAGUGCCACAGAGAUGUGGCCGCAGGGAAAUGGCCCAAGCAACUGUUUAGCAAAAACACAGGUCUAUGCAAAACCGAAAGGUGAGGUAUAUGGGCUGACGCCUGCCCGGUGCUGGAAGGUUAAGAGGAGAGGUUAGAGCAAUCGAAGCUUUGGAUUUAAGCCCCAGUAAACGGCGGCCGUAACUAUAACGGUCCUAAGGUAGCGAAAUUCCUUGUCGGGUAAGUUCCGACCCGCACGAAAGGCGUAAUGAUUUGGGCACUGUCUCAACAACACACCCGGUGAAAUUGAAAUACCAGUGAAGAUGCUGGUUACCUGCGCCAGGACGGAAAGACCCCAUGGAGCUUUACUCCAGUUUGAUACUGGGAUUCGGUACUGUCUGUACAGGAUAGGUGGGAGGCUAGGAAAUGGUGACGCCAGUUGCCAUGGAGCCAACCUUGGGAUACCACCCUUACAGUACUGGGUUUCUAACCUGCAGCCGUAACCCGGCUGGGGGACAAUGUCUGACGGGGAGUUUGACUGGGGCGGUCGCCUCCGAAAGAGUAUCGGAGGCGCUCAAAGGUUCCCUCAGAACGGUUGGAAACCGUUCGAAGAGUGCAAAGGCAGAAGGGAGCUUGACUGCGACACCGACGGGUGGAGCAGAUACGAAAGUAGGACUUAGUGAUCCGGUGGUAUAAAGUGGGAUUGCCAUCGCUCAACGGAUAAAAGCUACCCUGGGAUAACAGGCUUAUCACUCCCAAGAGUUCACAUCGACGGAGUGGUUUGGCACCUCGAUGUCGGCUCAUCGCAUCCUGGAGCUGUAGCAGGUUCCAAGGGUUGGGCUGUUCGCCCAUUAAAGCGGUACGCGAGCUGGGUUCAGAACGUCGUGAGACAGUUCGGUCCCUAUCCGGCGUGGGCGUAGGAUAUUUGAGAGGAGCUGUCCUUAGUACGAGAGGACCGGGAUGGACAAACCUCUGGUGUAUCUGUUGUUUUACCAAAGGCAUGGCAGAGUAGCCAAGUUUGGCAGGGAUAAACGCUGAAGGCAUCUAAGCGUGAAGCCCCCCUCAAGAUAAGAUAUCCCAUCUUCGGAGUAAGACCCCUUGAAGACUACAAGGUUGAUAGGCUUCAGGUGUAAGUGCGGUAACGCACUCAGCUGAGAAGUACUAAUAGGUCGAGGACUUAUGAA
Molecule: ribosomal RNA, 1366 nt
Filed under: metagenome
Description: bacterial LSU rRNA
Rfam family: Bacterial large subunit ribosomal RNA
Source: RNAcentral